GAUAGCACCAGUCAUGCCUGCCUAUGCCAGUUGAAGAACUUACUGCUCCUCUUCUGAAUGCAACUAGACUGUAGAUCUUACCAGGUUGCAGGAAGGAUGUGUACUGUCAGCAACUCUCAGAAGGCUGAACAAACGAGUCCCACAGCAGCCCUGGGAAGGAUCUCUGCUGUACCUUUUGGGAGGGCAGAUUUUUUACUGGAGGCUAGCACGUUUUGA
Molecule: long non-coding RNA, 216 nt
Filed under: Junco hyemalis (dark-eyed junco)
Lineage: Eukaryota; Metazoa; Chordata; Aves; Passeriformes; Passerellidae
Description: lncRNA (ENSJHYG00000014086.1)
Source: RNAcentral